UUCCUACGGGGGGCAGCAGUGAGGAAUAUUGGUCAAUGGGCGGAAGCCUGAACCAGCCAAGUCGCGUGAGGGAAUAAGGCCCUACGGGUCGUAAACCUCUUUUGCCGGGGAGCAAGGGCGGGGACGUGUCCCGGCCCGGAGAGUACCCGGAGAAAAAGCAUCGGCUAACUCCGUGCCAGCAGCCGCGGUAAUACGGAGGAUGCGAGCGUUAUCCGGAUUUAUUGGGUUUAAAGGGUGCGUAGGCGGACAGUCAAGUCAGCGGUAAAAAUGCGGUGCUCAACGCCGUACAGCCGUUGAAACUGGCG
RNAcentral lists this ribosomal RNA (305 nucleotides) under uncultured bacterium. RNAcentral's name for it is "bacterial SSU rRNA". It matches the Rfam family "Bacterial small subunit ribosomal RNA", at positions 336 to 638 of the family's 1533-position model. The record is from RNAcentral.